RNAcentral lists this long non-coding RNA (492 nucleotides) under Zonotrichia albicollis (white-throated sparrow). RNAcentral's name for it is "lncRNA (ENSZALG00000016296.1)". The record is from RNAcentral. Lineage: Eukaryota; Metazoa; Chordata; Aves; Passeriformes; Passerellidae.
UAGCACUUGUUUUUUUCCUGAUUUCGGGGCAGCAUGCUUUGAAGGCACAGUUAAAAAUUUCCCUUUUGCAAAAGCUUCCCAGCAGCUUUCCCAGUGAGCCUGCAGAGCUGGGGAUGUAGGAAAUGUGAAGCAGAGCUCUCCCAGCCUUGGCGGGCACGAGGGGCUUUUGUUUUUCUGGGGGUUUUGUUCUGGAGGUGCUGCUGUGUUCCGUGUGACUUGAAAGCAGAGGGAGAAGGUGAAGCUGCAGCUCCUCAGAUCUGUCUGCUGUAUCCUGGAAGGCAGCAUGGGGAAACUCCACAGAAGCCCCAUGCGAGUGGUGCCUAUUGUUUCCAUGAGCAGAGCCUCCUCUCAGAUGCCCUGAGCUUUCUCACAUAGUGCGUUGGGGUUUGGUGAGUGACACUGCUUUUCUCAGAAUAUUGCUCCCACCCUUGCCUGCUCAAUGCAAUCCACAAGCUGUGGGUGUCAGUCUGGAGGGAAAAAAUAAAAAAAAAA